RNAcentral lists this transfer RNA (85 nucleotides) under Hypoxylon sp. FL0543. Its description in RNAcentral is "tRNA-Arg". It matches the Rfam family "tRNA". From Rfam's summary of the family: Transfer RNA (tRNA) molecules are approximately 80 nucleotides in length. Their secondary structure includes four short double-helical elements and three loops (D, anti-codon, and T loops). Further hydrogen bonds mediate the characteristic L-shaped molecular structure. tRNAs have two regions of fundamental functional importance: the anti-codon, which is responsible for specific mRNA codon recognition, and the 3' end, to which the tRNAs corresponding amino acid is attached (by aminoacyl-tRNA synthetases). tRNAs cope with the degeneracy of the genetic code in two manners: having more than one tRNA (with a specific anti-codon) for a particular amino acid; and 'wobble' base-pairing, i.e. permitting non-standard base-pairing at the 3rd anti-codon position. The record is from RNAcentral. Lineage: Eukaryota; Fungi; Ascomycota; Sordariomycetes; Xylariales; Hypoxylaceae.
GGUCCGUUGGCCCAAUGGUAAGGCGUCUGACUACGACUGUUAGCAGCUAAUCAGGAGAUUCUGGGUUCGACCCCCAGGCGGACCU